This is a long non-coding RNA of Acanthochromis polyacanthus (spiny chromis), 3485 nucleotides long. RefSeq lists it as uncharacterized. The record is from RefSeq and is a predicted model, not a curated record. The transcript is spliced from 5 exons. NCBI's taxonomy places the organism in Eukaryota, Metazoa, Chordata, Actinopteri, Pomacentridae.
UGAGAGAGCGUGGGUGAGAGAGACAGGGUGCGAGAGAGAAAAAAAACAACACGGUUCCCAGCACGGCUCCCAAUACGGAGCCGGCUCCCGUCGGUCACUUGAAAGAUCCAGCUCGAAGAGCCGUUUCGUUCGCGAACGACACAUCACUAGCAACAAGUUGAGACACCUCCUGUCAAUUGACUGUCCUGCAGGAAUUUCUGGACUAUAGUCUUCAUCUUUGUGAGGCACCACUCUGGAUCCCUGUGCAUGUUUCUUGGAUCCAAACAUGCCAUGGCCCUGACCACUGGAAACUUCAAGGGGCUUUUCUCUUGCAGUUUCUUAACGAUGGUAACCAGGCCCUGCAUACACUCUUUUCGGAAGACGAGCACAGAAGGCUCCCCUACCCUGUUUCCUGGCUUGCUCUGAAGUGCCUGACAAAUAGAACCUAAACUAUAAACACAUGCUGUAAAUGGUAUAAAAAAUGACUGCCCUCUCAGUGAACUUGAGAAAAUAAGUUUCAAUAUAUAUAUUUGAACCUGGACUUGGACUUACGUGUUUCUGUAUGUGUUGCUUUGGUAUAGCUUCGUAGUUAGCUGGCGACUUGUUUUGCUCAUCUUUUUUACAUAAUGGCAGCUAAAGAUCCAGGGGGACCCAGCCGUAAAAGACAACUUCACGAGUGCUACGCAAGUUUCUGGAGGGGGGCGUUUCUUCGUAAAUGUUAAGAGGGGGGAGGUUAGAGGGGGGUGAGGGAGAGGUUGUAUGUGCACAUGCGCAUGCUAUGUUCAAAGUCGUAGGAAAUUAAAUCUCCUCUAAUGCCUUUAAAGUGCGGUGCUAAUCUGAAUUUAAUGGCGCAUCCUGAUUUGUCCUUUCCACAGGUGAAUGUCUUGGCAAUAUCCGAAUCGGGAAACAUCGACUUAAAUAUGUCAGAAAUUCCUUCAUUUGAGUUCAACGAGUGGUGAUUCACCGCUGUGUUGAGACACUAGAUAACCUCUGCGCACAGCGUUGGUGUGCCGCCCAAAGCCACCCUCAUGUCAGCAGACGAUGAGGCUGAGGUCGCAGUUGUAGCUGUGUUGGCUAGCUCAGGUGUCACGUUCCCUGGUGAUCAUGUUGGCGGUGGACCACAGAAAGAUGCCACAGACCGCUGCUGCCUGCGGCGAACCGCAGUCGUGUGGUGAGCACCCUGCAUAUGGGAUCUGACUGCAUUGCUGCCCAUAGGAACAGAGCAGGAGGGACAGAGAGAAAGAGAGCCAGGGGCAACAAAACCAGACAUCGAUAGAAAGGUAAAGAAAAUGAGUGACACCAGGAAAACGAGUAAAAUCUGGAACCAUUUCAAUUUGAUAUCAAGUUGAUAAUACAAAGGCAGAAUGUAGAGUCUGCAAGAAAAGAAUAUCCUACAGAGCCGGCUCCACAAACAACCUCCACAGGCAUCUGAGAACUGUCCACCCAUCAGUGCAAUGGGUUGAAUGUGGUAUUAAUGAAGGUGCCAGUGUGUCUACUGUUGCUGCUGCUGCUUCUGCUGCAGUAUCUACAGCAUCAUGUACUAUGCCACCACAGCCACCAAAACCUCCACCCAGAGCUCUAUGACACAGUUUUUGCAGAAGUCUGUGACCACAGCACGACAGAACUCAACUGAUGAAGAACUGGCAAAAAUGACUGCCCUUGAUUUUCAACCAUUGUCAGUUGUGGAUGAUAAAGGAUUCAGGAAGUUUGUUCAUGCACUAAAUCCAAUGUACGCAAUUCCAAGCAGGAAAAUACUUUCCCAAAAAAUCAUCCCAGGUCUGUAUGACACAGAACAUACAUUACUGCAAGAGAGGGUUAAAAAAGCCACAGCAGUCUGUCUAAUAACUGACAGCUGGACAUCCCAAACCAAUACAUCCUUCUUGUCAGUUACGUGUCACUUUAUUGAAAAAUUUAAAAUGGUGUCCUGUCUUCUGGAUUGUUUUGAGUUCAGCGACAGACACACUGCUGACAACUUAGCAGAAGAGCUGCUCAAAGUGGCAAAAGAGUGGGAUGUGGAAAACAAAGUGAUUUGCUGUGUUUUGUGUUGUUUCACUUUAAAUUUGUUUAAAAGGAAAAAGCUGAAUAUUUAAAUAGUUGAAAAUUGAGUUGUAAAUAGUUGUUCUUUGUAUUUUAUAAUUUAUUUGUUUUACAUUUUUGUGGAGUCAGCUGCACAGUAGUGCAGUGGUUAGCACUUUUGCCUUGCAGCAAGAACAUCCCAGUUUGAAUCCCGGGGUGGGCCUGGGAUCUUUCUGCAUGGAGUUUGCAUGUUCUCCCUGUGCAUGCGUGGGUUUUCUGCGGGCACUCCGGCUUCCUCCCACAGUCCAAAAAUAUGCUGAGGUUAAUUGAUUACUCUAAAUUGCCCGUAGGUGUGAAUGUGAGUGUGAUUGUUUGUCUGUAUAUGUAGCCCUGUGACAGACUGGUGACCUGUCCAGGGUGUCCCCAGCCCAAGUUAGCUGGGAUAGGUUCCAGCACCCCCCGCAACCCCAGUGAGGAUAAAGCGGUGUAUAGAGAAUGGAUGGAUUUUUGUGGAGUGAAUAAAAAAGCAUAUGUAUAUAUAUAUAUGUGUGUGUGUAUAUAUAAUAAACAUAUAUAAAUUAAAAAAACACAAUCUUUUACAUUAGUAAUUCAUUUUGUGCAUAAUUUUAUAUUGUUGUUGAUAAUAAAUUAAUUAAAGCAACAAAACAACCCGAAGAGCCGUUUGGGAGCCGAAAGAGCCGGCUCUUUUUACUGAGCCGAGCCAAAAGAGCCGGCUCGCUAAAAAGAGCCGGAUUUCCCAUCACUAGUUUCUAGCCCAUUUUUGGGGUGCUCAAGCACCCCUAAAUUGAAUCCCAGCACCCCUAUGAUUUGAGAGAUUUUUUUGUAUUGCAUGUCCUUUUUUUAACAAACCAGAAAAGUGUAAAAAUCAUACAGUACUUGGUUGAUACAUAAUGUUUUAACAACAAAAAUACAGUACUCCUCUCCCCCUAUCUUGCCUCAAAAAUGGUUUGAUCCGGUCCAACUUUCCCGACUCGGGCUCUGAGCCUUUACCUGCAGAACGAAGCUGCCUCCCACAUAAGCACAUGUUCCGUAACAGAGAGACAGCCUCAUCAUGGACAUAAGACUUUUUUUUUUUUUUGAGGAGCCAGGUUCAGUCCAAACAGGGAGAGAUGAAAAAGGGGGAGAGGAGACUGCGCAAGGUCAGGAAGAACCAGUGGAACUGAAAGCUCGGGACUCAGCUGAGGACAGCGUGAUGUGACAAAGCACUAAACGGCAGCUGAUAAACUGUGACACCUGUCUGUGGUGAAGGAAAGCACACAGUGAGAUUUGCCAUUAAAAUCCUAAUCUAGCCUUUCUCCAUAUCCAUUAUAAUUUAUAAUUAAUGAAGUUACUUGUGUUGCUCUAUGCAGAAAUGCUCUGUCUCUUGUUGUCUGAGGCUGCAGGUUUGCAAUAAACUAUGAAGAAAUAAUCCUAAACUGCUAAAAAGUACUAGUGCAUCUCCAAAAUUUAGAAAAUUGUGAAAAGCUAUU